RNAcentral lists this ribosomal RNA (253 nucleotides) under uncultured bacterium. RNAcentral's name for it is "partial 16S ribosomal RNA". It matches the Rfam family "Bacterial small subunit ribosomal RNA", at positions 524 to 776 of the family's 1533-position model. The record is from RNAcentral.
UACGUAGGUGGCAAGCGUUGUCCGGAUUUAUUGGGUUUAAAGGGUGCGUAGGCGGCUUGAUAAGUCAGUGGUGAAAGCCGAUCGCUUAACGAUCGAAUUGCCAUUGAUACUGCCAGGCUUGAGUACAGUUGAGGUAGGCGGAAUUGACAGUGUAGCGGUGAAAUGCGUAGAUAUUGUCAAGAACACCAAUUGCGAAGGCAGCUUACUAAAGUGUAACUGACGCUGAGGCACGAAAGUGCGGGGAUCAAACAGG